RNAcentral lists this long non-coding RNA (2220 nucleotides) under Mus musculus (house mouse). Its description in RNAcentral is "maternally expressed 3". The stretch from base 564 to 665 matches the Rfam family "Maternally expressed 3 conserved region 2". The record is from RNAcentral. Lineage: Eukaryota; Metazoa; Chordata; Mammalia; Rodentia; Muridae.
ACAGAAGACGAAGAGCUGGAAUAGAGCUCGCCUCGGCUCUGCUGGCCUUGGCUGCAGCUCUUCCAGAAACCCGGGGCGCCCACAGAAGAAUCUCUUACCUGGCUCUCUCUUCAGGGAUGACAUCAUCGGCUCACACCAGUCUUCCAGGACCACCUUCUGGAUGCCAAGGCUGCUGCUCGAGUACCUGCUGUGCACCUCUACCUCCUGGUACCCCAGCCACUCCCUCAAGUUGCCUGCAUGUUAUAUGGCCUAGCCAAGGAGCACGGAUUCCAGGAACCCACUACCAUACAGAGCAACUCCUUGUGGACCCCCCUGGGAUCAGGACAGCGAGGGACAAGCGACAAAGAGGAUCAUCAGUGGCCAGCUAGUUUCUCUGGGGUUCAAACCUUGAACCAGUGCCCUAGUGAGGGGGCACUGGCCAUGGCCCUUGACCUUUGCUCUGCUUGUGUCUUGAGUCUGAGCCCUUUCCUGUACAUCUGUGCUCGUGUUCAUCUGCUAGUGAACUGGAGUGCUGCCCUCCCCGAGGAGGGUCGUCCCUUGUGACUGAUCAUGCUGUCCUAACAAUGUCCUGAGCAAAAGGGUCCCUUUGGGAACCUCUCAGGAGGGGGACCCGGGUCAGGGGCGACCAGCAUCUUGCUGGCAACUCCGUGGGUGGGGUGGGGUGGGGUGCUUCCUUCUGGAAUGAGCACGUGGCUGACCCCCCAAGGCAUGUCCCCUCCCCCUCCUCCACCCACCUUCUCGGAGAUGUCCCUUUUGGGGUAGUGGGGACAUUAGGAGCAACCUCCUAGGGUUGUUGUGAGAAUUAAAUGAACUGCAGCAGCCUGAGGCAGGGCUGGGCAGAGACCUCAGCACAUGUUUGUUGAAAGGUUUGCAGGUGGAUCUAGUCCUCCCGUUCAUGGCUCAUGUGUCUCAACCAUUCUCUCGCAGACUCCUGCAGCCCCUAUGCCCAGGGCUCUCCUUGCGCCAGCCCCGGCUUCUCGAGGCCUGUCUACACUCGCUGCUUUCCUUCCUCACCUCCAAUUUCCCCUCCAACCCACUGCUUCCUGACUCGCUCUUCUCCAUCGAACGGCUCUCGCUCAGCCUCCCUCUGUUUGUCUCCCUCCCUCUCCCAAUUGGAUCUGGCCCCUGUUGGGGUGCCCCUAGGCCACCCCUUCCUCUUCUGGGUGUCCCAGCACCAACCCGCCUCCUGGUGCCUGUUGGACCAUCCCUUGCUGGUUCUUCAUUUCCUGUGGGCCUAGUUUCCAGGGGCUGAGUGACCAGGGUCUUAAAACAGGUUUAAGGCUUGGCUUGCUGGCCCUGGAGAUCCCGUCGCCGUCUUCGUCGAACUCGAAAUCCUAGCCAUCGUCCUUCCCUGGCCUGUCGCGUCUUCCUGUGCCAUUUGCUGUUGUGCUCAGGUUCCACGAGCUGCCCAUCUCCACAGAAGAGCAGCUGGCAUUGCCCACCGGCCAUGCCGGCUGAAGAAAAGAAGACUGAGGACCCCAGGAUGCCCAGCGCGAGGACCCCAGGAAGCCCAGCGCGAGGACUCCACCCACGACGCCCAGCGCGAGGACUUCACGCACAACACGUUGCAACCCUCCUGGAUUAGGCCAAAGCCAUCAUCUGGAAUCCUGCGUGGGACCCUGGACACACGGACACAGACACCUGCCCCCAGGACCCUCCAACUGUAAAUCGAUUGGAAGCGCCCUUGUGAGCUGGGGCCUUCAAAGGGCUGAGGAGAAAAUGCAGGCCGAGAGACCAGCUUCUCAAAUAGGCUUCAAGCCUCCAUGACCUGAGCUCACCCCCUGGAAAUGUCUGGAAAACAUAAUGGGCAGGUUUUCUGUCUUCAAAGUUUCCAUCAAAACCUCUUCAAGUUCUUUAUUGUUUAGGACUGAGACACUUGGGGACAGUAAUGGGGACUUUCUUUUGUAUCUGUCUUGAAAGGCCAAAAUAUUUUUAUAUUGCUGUAGACAAAGCCACCUAUUUACAAAUGGACUCUUGUUCCGUCGUUUCCCACCAGGAAGACCGUACUAUGUUUGUGUCUCUAUGUAUUCUGGGGUCUUGAAACAGGUUUCUCAUGGGGAUGGCCAUUCACUAGAGCCCAGAGGGGCAGAAGGGGAAGUGUCUACCCUGCCAAGGGGGUCUGGGGAAGGAGGGGGGCUAGUCUCAGAUUUGCUCCUUGUAUGUCUAGGGUAAACCCUGGGAGAAUCUGGUGGUAAAAGAACAUAUGCUGUGUUUGCCCCA